GAUGAACGCUGGCGGCGCGCCUAACACAUGCAAGUCGAACGGUUAAAGCACCUUUUAGGUGUGUAUAAAGUGGCGAACGGCUGAGUAACACGUGGGCAACCUGCCCUCCUCUUGGGGAUAGCCUCGGGAAACCGAGGAUAAUACCCGAUACUUCAAUGUGGCCGCAUGACGACAUUGAGAAAGCUUUUGCGGAGAAGGAUGGGCCCGCGGCCUGUUAGCUUGUUGGUGGGGUAGAGGCCUACCAAGGCAAUGAUGGGUAGCUGGGUUGAGAGACCGACCAGCCAGAUUGGGACUGAGACACGGCCCAGACUCCUACGGGAGGCAGCAGGGGGGAAGCUUGCACAAUGGGCGAAAGCCUGAUGCAGCGACGCCGCGGGCGGGACGAAGGCCUUCGGGUUGGAAACCGCUUUCAGCAGGGACGAGGCGAUAAGUGACGGUACCUGCAGAAGAAGCCCCGGCUAACUACGUG
This 469-nucleotide ribosomal RNA is filed under the name uncultured bacterium. RNAcentral describes it as "partial 16S ribosomal RNA". It matches the Rfam family "Bacterial small subunit ribosomal RNA", at positions 28 to 507 of the family's 1533-position model. The record is from RNAcentral.